This 1551-nucleotide ribosomal RNA is filed under the name Lactiplantibacillus pentosus. RNAcentral describes it as "Lactobacillus pentosus 16S ribosomal RNA". It matches the Rfam family "Bacterial small subunit ribosomal RNA". The record is from RNAcentral. Lineage: Bacteria; Bacillati; Bacillota; Bacilli; Lactobacillales; Lactobacillaceae.
AGAGUUUGAUCAUGGCUCAGGACGAACGCUGGCGGCGUGCCUAAUACAUGCAAGUCGAACGAACUCUGGUAUUGAUUGGUGCUUGCAUCAUGAUUUACAUUUGAGUGAGUGGCGAACUGGUGAGUAACACGUGGGAAACCUGCCCAGAAGCGGGGGAUAACACCUGGAAACAGAUGCUAAUACCGCAUAACAACUUGGACCGCAUGGUCCGAGUUUGAAAGAUGGCUUCGGCUAUCACUUUUGGAUGGUCCCGCGGCGUAUUAGCUAGAUGGUGGGGUAACGGCUCACCAUGGCAAUGAUACGUAGCCGACCUGAGAGGGUAAUCGGCCACAUUGGGACUGAGACACGGCCCAAACUCCUACGGGAGGCAGCAGUAGGGAAUCUUCCACAAUGGACGAAAGUCUGAUGGAGCAACGCCGCGUGAGUGAAGAAGGGUUUCGGCUCGUAAAACUCUGUUGUUAAAGAAGAACAUAUCUGAGAGUAACUGUUCAGGUAUUGACGGUAUUUAACCAGAAAGCCACGGCUAACUACGUGCCAGCAGCCGCGGUAAUACGUAGGUGGCAAGCGUUGUCCGGAUUUAUUGGGCGUAAAGCGAGCGCAGGCGGUUUUUUAAGUCUGAUGUGAAAGCCUUCGGCUCAACCGAAGAAGUGCAUCGGAAACUGGGAAACUUGAGUGCAGAAGAGGACAGUGGAACUCCAUGUGUAGCGGUGAAAUGCGUAGAUAUAUGGAAGAACACCAGUGGCGAAGGCGGCUGUCUGGUCUGUAACUGACGCUGAGGCUCGAAAGUAUGGGUAGCAAACAGGAUUAGAUACCCUGGUAGUCCAUACCGUAAACGAUGAAUGCUAAGUGUUGGAGGGUUUCCGCCCUUCAGUGCUGCAGCUAACGCAUUAAGCAUUCCGCCUGGGGAGUACGGCCGCAAGGCUGAAACUCAAAGGAAUUGACGGGGGCCCGCACAAGCGGUGGAGCAUGUGGUUUAAUUCGAAGCUACGCGAAGAACCUUACCAGGUCUUGACAUACUAUGCAAAUCUAAGAGAUUAGACGUUCCCUUCGGGGACAUGGAUACAGGUGGUGCAUGGUUGUCGUCAGCUCGUGUCGUGAGAUGUUGGGUUAAGUCCCGCAACGAGCGCAACCCUUAUUAUCAGUUGCCAGCAUUAAGUUGGGCACUCUGGUGAGACUGCCGGUGACAAACCGGAGGAAGGUGGGGAUGACGUCAAAUCAUCAUGCCCCUUAUGACCUGGGCUACACACGUGCUACAAUGGAUGGUACAACGAGUUGCGAACUCGCGAGAGUAAGCUAAUCUCUUAAAGCCAUUCUCAGUUCGGAUUGUAGGCUGCAACUCGCCUACAUGAAGUCGGAAUCGCUAGUAAUCGCGGAUCAGCAUGCCGCGGUGAAUACGUUCCCGGGCCUUGUACACACCGCCCGUCACACCAUGAGAGUUUGUAACACCCAAAGUCGGUGGGGUAACCUUUUAGGAACCAGCCGCCUAAGGUGGGACAGAUGAUUAGGGUGAAGUCGUAACAAGGUAGCCGUAGGAGAACCUGCGGUUGGAUC